UGGGAGCACAGGUUUACCUGUGUGACUGCGUACCUUUUGUAUAAUGGGUCAGCGACUUAUAUUCUGUAGCAAGGUUAACCGAAUAGGGGAGCCGGAGGGAAACCGAGUCUUAAUUGGGCGUUAAGUUGCAGGGUAUAGACCCGAAACCCGGUGAUCUAGCCAUGGGCAGGUUGAAGGUUGGGUAACACUAACUGGAGGACCGAACCGACUAAUGUUGAAAAAUUAGCGGAUGACCUGUGGCUGGGGGUGAAAGGCCAAUCAAACCGGGAGAUAGCUGGUUCUCCCCGAAAGCUAUUUAGGUAGCGCCUCGUGAACUCAUCUCCGGGGGUAGAGCACUGUUUCGGCUAGGGGGCCAUCCCGGCUUACCAACCCGAUGCAAACUGCGAAUACCGGAGAAUGUUAUCACGGGAGACACACGGCGGGUGCUAACGUCCGUCGUGAAGAGGGAAACAACCCAGACCGCCAGCUAAGGUCCCAAAGUCAUGGUUAAGUGGGAAACGAUGUGGGAAGGCCCAGACAGCCAGGAUGUUGGCUUAGAAGCAGCCAUCAUUUAAAGAAAGCGUAAUAGCUCACUGGUCGAGUCGGCCUGCGCGGAAGAUGUAACGGGGCUAAACCAUGCACCGAAGCUGCGGCAGCGACACUGUGUGUUGUUGGGUAGGGGAGCGUUCUGUAAGCCUGUGAAGGUGGCCUGUGAGGGUUGCUGGAGGUAUCAGAAGUGCGAAUGCUGACAUAAGUAACGAUAAAGCGGGUGAAAAGCCCGCUCGCCGGAAGACCAAGGGUUCCUGUCCAACGUUAAUCGGGGCAGGGUGAGUCGACCCCUAAGGCGAGGCCGAAAGGCGUAGUCGAUGGGAAACAGGUUAAUAUUCCUGUACUUGGUGUUACUGCGAAGGGGGGACGGAGAAGGCUAUGUUGGCCGGGCGACGGUUGUCCCGGUUUAAGCGUGUAGGUGUGUGUUCCAGGUAAAUCCGGUUCACUUUAACACUGAGGCGUGAUGACGAGGCACUACGGUGCUGAAGCAACAAAUGCCCUGCUUCCAGGAAAAGCCUCUAAGCAUCAGGUAACAUCAAAUCGUACCCCAAACCGACACAGGUGGUCAGGUAGAGAAUACCAAGGCGCUUGAGAGAACUCGGGUGAAGGAACUAGGCAAAAUGGUGCCGUAACUUCGGGAGAAGGCACGCUGACACGUAGGUGAAGUGAUUUACUCACGGAGCUGAAGUCAGUCGAAGAUACCAGCUGGCUGCAACUGUUUAUUAAAAACACAGCACUGUGCAAACACGAAAGUGGACGUAUACGGUGUGACGCCUGCCCGGUGCCGGAAGGUUAAUUGAUGGGGUCAGCGCAAGCGAAGCUCCUGAUCGAAGCCCCGGUAAACGGCGGCCGUAACUAUAACGGUCCUAAGGUAGCGAAAUUCCUUGUCGGGUAAGUUCCGACCUGCACGAAUGGCGUAAUGAUGGCCAGGCUGUCUCCACCCGAGACUCAGUGAAAUUGAACUCGCUGUGAAGAUGCAGUGUACCCGCGGCAAGACGGAAAGACCCCGUGAACCUUUACUAUAGCUUGACACUGAACAUUGAGCCUUGAUGUGUAG
This 1585-nucleotide ribosomal RNA is filed under the name Salmonella enterica subsp. enterica serovar Newport. Its description in RNAcentral is "partial 23S ribosomal RNA". It matches the Rfam family "Bacterial large subunit ribosomal RNA", at positions 574 to 2141 of the family's 2925-position model. Lineage: Bacteria; Pseudomonadati; Pseudomonadota; Gammaproteobacteria; Enterobacterales; Enterobacteriaceae. The record is from RNAcentral.